This 1384-nucleotide ribosomal RNA is filed under the name Amycolatopsis rifamycinica. Its description in RNAcentral is "partial 16S ribosomal RNA". It matches the Rfam family "Bacterial small subunit ribosomal RNA". The record is from RNAcentral. Lineage: Bacteria; Bacillati; Actinomycetota; Actinomycetes; Pseudonocardiales; Pseudonocardiaceae.
UGCAAGUCGAACGCUGAUCCCUUUCGGGUGGGGAUGAGUGGCGAACGGGUGAGUAACACGUGCCUUUUCUGCCCUGACCUCUGGGAUAAGCCUUGGAAACGAGGUCUAAUACCCUUUAUCACAACUUCUCGCAUGGGAAGUUGUUGAAAGUUCUGGAGGUGCAGGAUGAACCCGCGGCCUAUCACCAUUGUUGGUGGGGUAAUGGCCUACUGAGGCGACGAUCAGGUAGCCGGCCUGAGAGGGUGACCGGCCACUCUGGCACUGAGACACGGCCCGGACUCCUACGGGAGGCAGCAGUGGGGAAUAUUGCACAAUGGGCGCAAGCCUGAUGGCCCUACGCCUUGUGAGGGAUGACGGCCUUCAAGUUGUAAACCUCUUUCGCCAGGGACGACCCGGCUUGACGGUACCUGGAUAAGAAGCACCGGCUAACUACGUGCCAGCUGCCGCGAAUCUACGUASGGUGCGAGCGUUGUCCRGACUUUAUUGGGUAUAAAGAGAUUGUAGGCGGUUUGUCGCCUCAGCCGCCAAAUCUCCACWCUAAACUKGAAGUGCGAUSUAUAUGGAAGCUGACUUGAGUUCAGUAGGGGAGAGUGGAAUUCCUGGUGUAGCGGUGAAAUGUACAUAUAUCACGGAGGAACACCUGUGGAGAARGCGKGUCUCUGGGCCGAUACUGACGCUGAGGAGAGAAAGCGUGGUSGAGCGACACAGAGAUUAUAUACCCUGGUAUUCCACGCUGUAAACGUUAGGCGCUAGGUGUGGGCGACAUCCACUUUGUCCGUGCAGUAGCUAACGCAUMAUUCGCCCCGCCUGGGGAGUACGGCAAGCAASGCUAACACUCAAAGGAAUUGAUGAGGGCCCGCACAAGCGGMGAAGCUUGUGGAUUAAUUCGAUGCAACGCGAAGAACCUUACCUGGGCUUGACAUGGUCCAGACAUCCCCAGAAAUGGGGCUUCCCUCUGGUUGGUGUACAGCAGGUGCAUCACGGUCGUCAUCAGGUGUCGUGAGAUGAUGGGUUAAGUACUGCAACGAGGACAACCAUUAUCGUCCGUAGCCAGCGCCAUAUGGCGGGGCAUUGUGGGAGACUGCCGGGGUCAAAUCGGAGGAAAAUGGGGAGGAGGUCACGUCUUCAUGCCCCCUAUGUCCAGGGGUUCACACACGUUACACAGGGUGGUACACAGGGGUGUGAUAACGGGAGGCCGAUCGAAAACCUUAAAACCGGUUUCAGUUUGGAUCGCAGUUUGCAAAUUGGAUCCCUGAAGUCGGGGAUGGUAGUAAAUGCAGGUCCGCAACGCCGCGGUGAAUACGUUCCCGGGCCUUGUACACACCGCCCGUCACGUCAUGAAAGUCGGUAACACCUGAAGCGCAUGGCCCAACCGCUAGGGGAG